AAGCAAUGUUAGCAGUGCAUGUCUGCCUGGUAUGGUUCAUCUGACCUUGACCUCAUUUUCAAGGUUCAUUGGUCUUUGUUUAGUUAUCUUUGGUUAAUGUCAAGUUUAUGUGACAGUGGUAAUAAAGCUUAGCUUUAUACUUAGGACUAUCAACAUAAUAUCAAUGAUUAGUAUAGAAGGCGAGACAUUUCAGCGUAUGCACUCUUGUCUAUAUAUUUACAUAAGCACGCACAC
This 234-nucleotide long non-coding RNA is filed under the name Mytilus galloprovincialis (Mediterranean mussel). Lineage: Eukaryota; Metazoa; Mollusca; Bivalvia; Mytilida; Mytilidae. The record is from RNAcentral.